Molecule: long non-coding RNA, 657 nt
Filed under: Aquilegia coerulea
Lineage: Eukaryota; Viridiplantae; Streptophyta; Magnoliopsida; Ranunculales; Ranunculaceae
Description: long non-coding RNA (ACOE_LNC001252)
Source: RNAcentral
CAAUCUAGAGGAAUGCAUUCUAUGCCAUCACAGUCAAGUGAUUGGAGGGAUAGCCCAGGUUUGACUGGUGAGUUUCAUUCUAUUGACCUUGGUUGGGUGAAUGUUGUUUUUAUCUUUUUUCAAGUUCUGAUUUCUGACCAAUGCCUAUACUGUAAUUGGUAUUUCUUUGAGCAAGCACAGAUCAUGGAGCAUACCAGUCUUCUGAAGAUGGAGACGACGGGAAUCUUCAGCAUUAGUCUGCCCUUGGAGUUAUGAUAAUUUAGAGGUCCUAAUUGAUGAUGGCCUCCUCUGUAUCUUACCAUGUCAUUCCCGAGUACAAGCCUUGUACAGCAUGGGUCUAAAUCUGCUUUGAUGCUGUUUUAUAUGCCUCCCGAGUCUCCUAUCUGGUAAUUAAAUCUAUGUAACUGGUCUAUUUUCUCAAAAGUGAGUAGAUAAGAGAUUUACUCAGGAGUCAGGACAUUUUUCUUUACUUACCAUUGAUAAUAAUAAACUGCUAACAAAAUAUAUGUACUCUUUUUCUGCUAACCUAUAUUGUAUGUGAGAUUCUGGAACUUUGUCUUCAGUUAUACAUAAUAUAUAAGAUCUACUAGAGUGUGACCUGGGUUCAAUGGGGUGUCUAAAAUCACUCUGAAAUAGUGGUAUGGUACCUAUGGAAAU